Molecule: long non-coding RNA, 5299 nt
Filed under: Sus scrofa (pig)
Lineage: Eukaryota; Metazoa; Chordata; Mammalia; Artiodactyla; Suidae
Description: lncRNA (ENSSSCG00060077444.1)
Source: RNAcentral
UUUUUUUUUUUUUUCUUUUUUGGCUGCCCUGGGGUGUUUGGAGUUCCGAGGCCAGAGAGCAGAUCUGAGCCACAGUGGCCACCUAAACCACAGCUGUAGCAAUGCUGGAUCCUUAACCCACUGUGCAAGGCCUGGGUUUGAACCUGUACCUCUGUGCUCCAGAGACACUAUUGCACCACAACAGGAACUCCAAUACAUUUUUUUUUAAAAGCCACUCACUUUGUGGUACUUGUUAUGGCAGUUUUAGCAACACCUUACUCAACCACAAGUUCCUUGAGGACAAGGACCAUGUUUGAUUUAUUUAUGCAUCUCUGGCAGUAGCCACAGUGUCUGAGCCAAUAUGUUGAAUGGAUGAUUGAAUGAACACACUACCUAUUCCUUUGCCUUAAUCUGGUCUCCCACUGGAACUGAAGAAAAAUCUCUCUCAAUACUUCCAGUGCUGCUGCAUAUAGUCCCAAGUUGUGUGAUGUGGUGACCUUCAAUUAUUUAUUAUUGUAUGACUUUAUCUAUAUAAGGAAAGUCAAUUGAACAGUGAAACUCCAUGCCAUUUACAAGAAAACCCACUGCUAUUGUGAGGAUCAGCCCUUACGCAGCGAAACAGCGGAAACCAUAAAUAAUUAUCCUCCACAUCAGGAAUUGGUCAACUACAGCCUUGGGCCUAGUCCAGCCUGCUGUCUGCCUUUAUAAAUAAAGUUUUACUGGAACACAGCCAUACUCAUCGAUUUACAUAUUGUCUACAACUGCUUUAGUCCUACAAUGAGGGAAUUGAAUGGUUGUGAUAGAAAACCUAAAAUAUGGGCGUUCUUGUCGUGGCGCAGUGGUUAAUGAAUCCGACUAGGAACCAUGAGGUUGCGGGUUCAACCCCUGGCCUUGCUCAGUGGGUUAACGAUCCGGCGUUGCCGUGAGCUGUGGUGCAGGUCGCAGACGUGGCUCAAGGAUCCCACGUUGCUGUGGCUGUGGUGUAGGCCGGCGGCUACAGCUCUGAUUCGACCCCUAGCCUGGGAACUUCCAUAUGCCGUGGGAACGGCCCAAGAAAUGGCAAAAAGACCAAAAAAAAAGAAAACUUAAAAUAGUUACUAUCUGAUCCCUUACAGAAAAGGUUUGUGGAGCCCUGCUCUAGGUAAUAUAAAUGGGUAGACACGGCCAGAGUGCUUUGUAUUAAGUGAUAAAAAAUCCCACCUUGAAAUGGAAACCAUUUUAUCACACUUUGGAAGAUUCUACAAUACUACUGCCUACGUCAGGAUGCCAGAAAGAAAACUAUGCGUAGGAAAUAAUUUAUUUCUGCCUCAAAAUGGGAGCCAGGGGGUUUAUAUAUACAUAUACAAAUAUAUAUAUAUAUAUAGAGAGAGAGAGAGAGAGUGUGUAUGGGCUUAUUUAUGCGUAUAUGUGAAUGGGGGUGUGGAUGGAGUAAAUUUUGAGCAAAUAGAACAUAUGUAACUUACAAAAUUAGGUGCUCUAUAUACGGAAUUUUUUGAACUGUGUCCAGCUUCCCAAAUUAGAGAGAAGAGAGAAAUGGAUAGAGAUCUAUCACAAAGUCUAGGAGGAGAAAUGCUAUUCCAGUGUUUAUGAGAACAGUCCUGCCUGCAGUUUUAUUCCUUCUGGAAAGAAUUGUAGAAAGUCUUAGACCUUUUUGAACGGUCCCUUAUGGAUCAAGCACAUGCCUGCCAUAUGGCCUCAUCACCCUGGCCUCAGCUGAUUGGGCCAAGGCUGGACACCUGAUCCAAGUGUCAAAGGCCUAUGAAAUGGCCUGGUACAAGGAUUUUGCCCAGUGGGGUGAAUACUGGCCACACCAACCUCAUGCUCGGGGAAUUUAGAGACUUAUGGAGACAAUGAAUCUAUGGAUCAAGAUUAGCAAAAGCAAAAACAGAACAUACUUGUCAUCUCGAUGCCAGGGCAAUGGUUACCUAAGGGACAGGAAGAAAACCUGCUCACGGCAGCAGCAUGGCAUCCUGAGUGAUGCUGCCGUUUCCAGAGGUCUGAAUGUGCCACUGGGGUGCUGCCAUGAGCCGUGGUCCAGUUUGUUCCAUCUUCGUGUUCCUACUCAAGAAUGGGUUUAAGGUCAUGGUCAGCUCAUCUUCUAUACUUCAUCAUUUCAUCUACUCGCUUCCCAUCCUCUGUACACUUAUCUCAUUAUCUUUUAUCUACAACUGCCUUGCAAACUCUAACCUUCUCCCAACCCAAUCACAUAGUUCUCUACUCCUAGACGUGGGCAGUUUAGGGCGGCACCCUGCCCUAAAUAUACUACCUAGCCACUGUGUUGGUGGCAUUACGAAUGCAUGGUUUCCAACCUGAGCUUGGCCUUUAUGGAUGCGUAUUUGACUCACUCUCCUAUUCGUCACAGCUGAUACUGCAAACUUCAACCCUCCCCUGGCUUCCAUCUCCGUUGCCCACCUUACAUCCAAACUCAGAGAAAAAUAGAGGUAUCUGGCCUCAAUUUCCAGACUCUCCCCAACAACUUAAACCCAUACCCUUUCUUUCCUGCUUUCCUAUUUCUACGGAAGAGGUGAAGUCACUCUUGUUCAAAGCUAAUCCCUCUACCUGUGCUCCAAAUCCUAAGAUCUUCCACUCUUGAUUCUAGUCUUGUCUCUACAAAAUCAUUUCCAUUUCCAUAGUGGCAACUUCUCUCCUGUCCAUGGUUUCUUUAUUUGUGCAAAUGUAUAUGCUCAGUCUCCCCUCUUUAAAAAAGAUCUUUCUUGACUCUUCAUAACCUAUUAGCUAUCAUCUUAUUGGACGCAUGCAUUUAAAGGCUAUUCACUUUAAAAUGUUUAGGAAAUUCUGGUCCAUACAGAUAAUGAAAGUAAUUUAAAAGAGCCCUAUUUCCAAGCCCAUGCACAUAGAAAAGACUGCUUAAAAUAUAAUAAACUAUUUUUUUCCUUAAAUAAAUUACAAAGCUCAAAUUGAGUUAGAAGGAUCUCCAGGUGCUAGAAAUGCAGAAGGGUCUGAAAUCAGAAUGAUGAUGCAAUAGAAAGUCAGCAGAUAUAAUUCACUAAGGGAUUUGUACUCCUAGAACUGAAAUAAUAGGUCAAUCUGAAAGAAACUUAAAAAUGCUUACAAGUAUAAAGGAAGGAAUAGACUCCAUUAGGCAAAAAGGGACAUAUAUUUUAAAAAAUCAGGUGAAUUGGAAAAAAUUCUAGAAAUAAAAAACAGUUUAAAAAUUUUUAUUGAAGUAUAGUUGAUUUACAAUGUUGGGUUAGUUUCUGGUGUAUAGCAAAUUGAUUCAAUUAUAUAUAUAAUGUAUAUACAUAAUUGUAUAUAUGUAUAUUCUUUUUCAUUAUGGUUUAUUACAAGAUAUUGCAUAUAAUUCAAUAUCCUAUAAUAUUGUAUAUUGUGUAAUGGAUAUAUAUAAUAUAUAAUUGUAUAUAUAUUCUUUUUCAUUAUGGUUUAUUACAGGAUAGUGAAUAUAAUUCUCUGUGCUAUAAGUAGGUCCUUGUUGUUUAUCUAUUUUAUAUAUACUAUUUUGUAUCUACUAAUCCCAAACUCCUAAUUUAUCCCCCCUCUACCCUUGUUCCCCUUUAGGUAACCAUAAGUUUGUUUUCAAAAUCUGUGAAUCUGUUUCUGUUUUAUAAAUAAAUUCAUUUGUAUCAUACUUUAGAUUCCACAUGUAAGUGCUAUCAUAUGGGAUUUGCCUUUCUCUGUCUGACUUAUUUUACUUAGUAUGAUAAUCUCUAGGUCCAUCCAUGUUGCUGUAAAUGGCAUUAUUUCAUUCUUUUUUAGGUCCGAGUAGUGUUCUAUUGUAUACAUAUACCACUUCUUUAUCCAUUCAUCUGUUGGUGGAUUUUAAGGUUGCUUCCAUGUCUUGGCUAUUGUAAAUAGUGCUGCAAUAAACAUUGGGGUGCAUGUAUCUUUUCGAGUUAAAGUUUCAUAUUUUCCAGAUAUAUGCCCAGGAGUGGCACUGCUAGAUCAUAGAACAACUCUAUUAGUUUUUUCAGAAACCACUAUACGGUUUUCCACAGUGGCUGCACCAAUUUACAUUCUCAUCAACAGUGUAGAAGGGUUCCCUUUUCUCCAUACCCUCUCCAGAAUUUAUUGUUUGUAGACUUUUUGAUGAUGGCCAUUCUGAUCUCCUCAUAGUUUUGAUUUGCAUUUCUCUAGUAAUUAGUGAUGUUGAGCAUAUUUUCCUGUGCUUUUUGGCCAUCUGUAUGUCUUCUUUGGAGAAAUGUCUAGGUCCUCUGCCCAUGUUUUUAUUAGAUUAUUUUUUUGUUAUCAAGUUGUAUGAGCUGUUUGUAUAAAAAAGGCAGUUUUUAAAAAUUGAAACUCGGUGGCUGGGUUGAAUAGUUGUCUAGAUAUGGCUGAAGAGAUAAUUCAUGAAUUAUGUAAAGAAAUUCAGCUGAGAAAGAUAUAAAGGGAUAAUGUGAAAGAGAAGUUAAGAGACAUGGAAAGUAGAAUUAGAGAAUCCAAUGUACAUUUAGGAGGGUUCCAGAAGGAGAACUCUGUAUGUGGUAGUCGUCAGUGCUGACUUCCAAAUAUUUUAUGUUCUUCUCCUGGACACACACAAUAACUGCAUUUUCCUACCACCUGGAAGUUAGGUGUGGCCAUUUGACUUACUUUAGCCAGUGCAAAGUGAGUGGAAGUAAUACAUGAUUCUUCUGGGAGGCUGACUUAAGACUUAAUACCCAGUUCAUCACAUUAUUUUUCUUCCUCUUCUGCCAAGGCAACCAGCAGCAUCCCAGGUCGUGGUUGUUCUAUCAAUGGGUCUCAGAGUAAGGACACACAGAACACAGACCACCAGUUAACCCAGUGGACAUGAGGCAGGUAUGAGAAAUAAACCCUGCUUUUUAAGCCAUAGAGAUAUUGGAGUUGUUUGUUUGACAGCAUAACAUAGCCCAUCCUGACUGAAAUUGAGAAAAUGGCAAGAAGAGGCAAGAGACAUGAUUCAAAGAACUAAUGUAUGAGAAUUUAAUUGAAAAAAAAAAUGUCUUCAGAGAAUAUUGAGUCCUGAGAAAGACAAAUAAAGACAAAUCUACUGUCAGACACAUAAUAAUGAAUCUACAGAACAUAAAUGCAUAUUCUUCUAUUUCAAUCCUCAAAGUAAUAUUAUUACAAAAUGUUAUAAUUCCUAUUUUAUAUUUGAAGAAGUCAAAUCUCAGUCUUAUGGCUACAGAGCAAGUAAGGUACAGAACUGGGAUUCAAACACAAAUCUAUCUUCCAAGGCUCAUCCUUUCUCAAACCCUAUUUGAAAUCUCUGUCUGGCUUAUUUCACUAUGACACAUGUACUUUAAUUAUUAAAUUUUUAUACAUUGACUCUCCAACCCUAGUGGCCUUCCUGUUGCUCCUUGAAUACACCAAGUAUGUUCCAGUA